AGUGAACGCUGGCGGUAGGCCUAACACAUGCCAGUCGAACGGCAGCACAGUAAGAGCUUGCUCUUACGGGUGGCGAGUGGCGGACGGGUGAGGAAUACAUCGGAAUCUACUUUUUCGUGGGGGAGAACGUAGGGAAACUUACGCUAAUACCGCAUACGACCUACGGGUGAAAGCAGGGGAUCUUCGGACCUUGCGCGAUUGAAUGAGCCGAUGUCGGAUUAGCUAGUUGGCGGGGUAAAGGCCCACCAAGGCGACGAUCCGUAGCUGGUCUGAGAGGAUGAUCAGCCACACUGGAACUGAGACACGGUCCAGACUCCUACGGGAGGCAGCAGUGGGGAAUAUUGGACAAUGGGCGCAAGCCUGAUCCAGCCAUACCGCGUGGGUGAAGAAGGCCUUCGGGUUGUAAAGCCCUUUUGUUGGGAAAGAAAAGCAGCAGGUUAAUACCCCGCUGUUCUGACGGUACCCAAAGAAUAAGCACCGGCUAACUUCGUG
RNAcentral lists this ribosomal RNA (492 nucleotides) under uncultured bacterium. RNAcentral's name for it is "partial 16S ribosomal RNA". It matches the Rfam family "Bacterial small subunit ribosomal RNA", at positions 29 to 507 of the family's 1533-position model. The record is from RNAcentral.